CGCGUAGGCGGACCCUCAAGUCGGUUGUGAAAACUGUCAGCUUAACUGGCAGCCUGCAUCCGAUACUGUGGGUCUUGAGUACGGGAGAGGAAAGCGGAAUUCCAGGUGUAGCGGUGAAAUGCGUAGAUAUCUGGAAGAACACCAGUAGCGGAGGCGGCUUUCUGGACCGAUACUGACGCUAAAGCGCGAAGGCUUGGGGAGCAAACA
This 207-nucleotide ribosomal RNA is filed under the name uncultured bacterium. Its description in RNAcentral is "partial 16S ribosomal RNA". It matches the Rfam family "Bacterial small subunit ribosomal RNA", at positions 568 to 774 of the family's 1533-position model. The record is from RNAcentral.